Mus spicilegus (steppe mouse) is the source of this 1997-nucleotide long non-coding RNA. The record is from Ensembl. NCBI's taxonomy places the organism in Eukaryota, Metazoa, Chordata, Mammalia, Rodentia, Muridae.
AGACUGCUUUAUGAUUUAAUGAAUCUCACCAAUAUCUCCUCUGUGGUGCCAGUUAGCUCUGAAGACCCCUGGUCACGCAACGAUGUGCUCAUUCUGUCAAUUAUUUCAGAGAACUGUUGGGCGAGACCCUUUCUGUGAAGCCCGAGAAAGACGGCCCUUCCCACACAAAAGAAACCAGGGCAAGGCAGUAGCAAAAUUCGUUGUAUGGCCAUUAUCUGAAGCCUGGACCAGAAAGAUAAUGACCCUAGCUUUACAAGGCAGGUGGGAGCGAUCAAUUAUGCCCCCACAACUGACAGCACAGCUCUCUUCCAUGAGCAGCAGGAGUGCUGGAGUUAACCUGGAUUUCAGAACCAGUAGACACCCACUGUGCCCACUUGGGCCUCUCCAGGAGCAGAGUCUCUUGUGACAACAGGCAGGGAGGAUUCUCCCAGGGUCUCCGAGGAGCAGCAUGAGGAGAAUUCAUGGAAACCAGAGCCGGAGAGAAGAGAGGCAAGGUGUCCUUCUCUGGUUCAUAGGCAAGAGUUCAGGAACAGAGUACCUGCUUCUAGCUGAGUCGACAGCCACUCCCACCGUGUGUAUAUGAACUCUGCUGGGGUCUCUAAUCUGGAUCAUAGUCACUUUCUGUCUAUCAUUUCCAACUGGAAGGAGAAGACACCCAGCUCCAUCUAUAGUGACACAAGAGGCAGGCCAGGCAUGGUGUGGAGGACAAGACUAAGUAGCCUCAAAACACACACACACAUGCAUUUACAUGCAUACACACAUGUAUGACACAUAUUCACAUGCAUAUGCACCUGUACACCAAGAAAACUUGUGCACACAUGCAUGCACACACAUAAACAUACACACAUGAAACACACUGAUAAUUUUAUGAAUACACAUAUUUAUCAUGAGUGUACUUAGUUACACACAUGUGGUAUGUUUGCAUACACACACACACACACACACACACAUAUAUAUAUAUAUAUACAUACAUACAUACAUACAUACAUACAUACAUACAUACAUACAUACACAAUAUAUAUAUUGCUAGCUUUGUGGCAUCUGGUUUCUGUAUCCACCCUAGAAAGAGUCAGCCAUUUGGUGCCCAUCCCUAAAGCUUUUCUUUGAAAACACAUGAUUGAAAGUAAGCAGGUAUCUAGGUCAGUAAAAUAUCUGCCACACCUAUUAGUUUGCCUCUCUGUUGCUGUGAUUAAAAACACUCUAGACAUAACCCAAUCACAAAAGAACACACAUGAUAUGCACUCACUGAUAAGUAGAUAUUAGCCCAGAAAUUUAGAAUACCCAAGAUACAAUUUGCAAAAACACAUGAAACUCAAGAAGAAGGAAGACCAAAGUGUGGAUACUUUGUUCCUUCUUAGAAUGGGGAACAAAAUACCCAUAGAUGGAGUUACAAGACAAAGUUUGGAGCAGAGCCUGAAGGAAUGACCAUCCAGAGACUGCCCCACUUGGGAAUCCACCCCAUUAACAACCACCAAACCCAGACACUAGGCAGAUGCCAGCAAGAUUUUGCUGACAGGACCCUGAUAUACCUCUCUCUUGUGAGGCUCUGCCAGUGCCUGGCAAAUACAGAAGUGGAUGCUCACAGUCAUCCAUUGGACGGAGCACAAGGUCCCCAAUGAAGGAGCCAGAAAAAUACCCAGGCAACUGAAGGGGACUGAAGCCCCAUAGAAGGAACAUCAAUAUGAACUAACCAGUACCCUCAGAGCUCCUUGGAACUAUACCACAAAUCAAAGAAAACAUAUGAUGCAACUUGUGGCUCUAGCUAUAUUUGUAGCAGAGGAUGGCCUAGUCAGUCAUCAAUGGGAGGAGAGGCCCUUGGUCCUGUGAAGGCUCUAUGCCCCAGUAUAGGGGAAUGCCAGGACCAGGAAUGGGAGUAGGUGGGUUGGGGACAAGGGGGAGGGGGGAGUGGAUAGGGGAUUUUCGGAGGGGAAACUAGGAAAGGGGAUAACAUUUGAAAUGUAAAUAAAGAAAAUAAUAAAAAAGAAAAAAAGUAAUAA